CUGAUCUCGAUUGUAAAAGGCUGGAUCGCGGAUAGGGAGCGCGAGCGUGAAGAAACCGGCCGCCAUCUUACUGUACCCACAACAGUCGCCGCAGCGAUCAUGGCAACUUCUUGCAAUUACGGUCGUACCAGCCGUACUGGCAAGGUUACAGGGCCUAAAUUUAUACAGGUUUCGUCAUGAGGGCUACCCAGUGAAUAAUCUGUGCAGUGUGAUACGGCUGGGUGUACAGGUUACUUCACAGCUGCCUCGGCAUACUCAAGAAAUGGGUGCAGAACCUGCGUAAUGCCCACAAACUUUGACUACCACAGCACCUCCAGAAAGUAAAGGCAUAUGUGUCACAUGGGAUUUUUAAAGGCAUUCACAGUAUAUAAUACCUUGUAUGAACUGUUGUAGAUCUAAGCAGCCUCUACAGUACAUUCUCAGAAAUUAAAACUUGUCAGGGAACUGUGAUAAUUGUUUCAAUUAAUAGGCAUGCACAUAUACACUAUAAGAAGAAAAUUAUUUAUUGAGAAUGCA
Molecule: long non-coding RNA, 516 nt
Organism: Ornithodoros turicata
Lineage: Eukaryota; Metazoa; Arthropoda; Arachnida; Ixodida; Argasidae
Exons: 3
Source: RefSeq, a predicted model, not a curated record